AACGAACGCUGGCGGCAGGCCUAACACAUGCAAGUCGAGCGCCCUUUCGGGGGAGCGGCGGCCGUGUGAGUAACGCGUGGGAAUAUGCCCUUCUCUACGGAAUAGCCUCGUGAAACUGAGAGUAAUACCGUAUACGCCCUGUGGUGGUAAGAUUUAUCGGGGAAGGAUUAGCCCGCGUUGGAUUAGGUAGUUGGUGGGGUAAUGGCCUACCAAGCCGACGAUCCAUAGCUGGUUUGAGAGGAUGAUCAGCCACACUGGGACUGAGACACGGCCCAGACUCCUACGGGAGGCAGCAGUGGGGAAUCUUAGACAAUGGGGGCAACCCUGAGCUAGCCAUGCCGCGUGAGUGAUGAAGGCCUUAGGGUGGUAAAGCUCUUUCAGCUGGGAAGAUAAGGACGGUACCAGCAGAAGAAGCCCAGGCUAACUCCGU
RNAcentral lists this ribosomal RNA (430 nucleotides) under uncultured bacterium. RNAcentral's name for it is "partial 16S ribosomal RNA". It matches the Rfam family "Bacterial small subunit ribosomal RNA", at positions 29 to 506 of the family's 1533-position model. The record is from RNAcentral.